This 508-nucleotide ribosomal RNA is filed under the name uncultured bacterium. Its description in RNAcentral is "bacterial SSU rRNA". It matches the Rfam family "Bacterial small subunit ribosomal RNA", at positions 28 to 494 of the family's 1533-position model. The record is from RNAcentral.
GACGAACGCUGGCGGCGUGCCUAAUACAUGCAAGUCGAACGCACUCUCGUUUAGAUUGAAGGAGCUUGCUCCUGAUUGAUAAACAUUUGAGUGAGUGGCGGACGGGUGAGUAACACGUGGGUAACCUGCCCUAAAGUGGGGGAUAACAUUUGGAAACAGGUGCUAAUACCGCAUAAAACCUAACACCGCAUGGUGUAGGGUUGAAAGAUGGUUUCGGCUAUCACUUUAGGAUGGACCCGCGGUGCAUUGUUAGUUGGUGAGGUAAAGGCUCACCAAGACCGUGAUGCAUAGCCGACCUGAGAGGGUAAUCGGCCACACUGGGACUGAGACACGGCCCAGACUCCUACGGGAGGCAGCAGUAGGGAAUCUUCCACAAUGGACGAAAGUCUGAUGGAGCAACGCCGCGUGAGUGAAGAAGGUUUUCGGAUCGUAAAACUCUAGUUGUUGGAGAAGAAUGUAAUCUGAUAGUAACUGAUCAGGUAGUGACGGUAUCCAACCAGAAAGCCAC